GCCACUUCUCGGCCUUUUGGCUAAGAAGAAGUAUGGUAUCUGUUCUUACCAGUUUAAUAGCCAAUACAUUAUCCAAGAUGGGGCUGGGGAUUUAGCUCAGUGGUUCUGCCACCUGCCUUGCAAGCACAAGGUUCCCAGUUUGAUCUCUGGUACCAAAAAAGCAAAAAAAUUAUCCAAGGAUGUUUGCAGCAUGGAGAUGAAAUGAAAGCUUGUUCUACCCUUCCCAUGAAUCAACUUGGUAUUGCAGUGCUUCCAAGAAUGGUGCAUCUUAC
Molecule: small nuclear RNA, 272 nt
Organism: Heterocephalus glaber (naked mole-rat)
Lineage: Eukaryota; Metazoa; Chordata; Mammalia; Rodentia; Bathyergidae
Gene: U2
Rfam family: U2 spliceosomal RNA
About the family: U2 is a small nuclear RNA (snRNA) component of the spliceosome (involved in pre-mRNA splicing). Complementary binding between U2 snRNA (in an area lying towards the 5' end but 3' to hairpin I) and the branchpoint sequence (BPS) of the intron results the bulging out of an unpaired adenosine, on the BPS, which initiates a nucleophilic attack at the intronic 5' splice site, thus starting the first of two transesterification reactions that mediate splicing.
Source: Ensembl